Molecule: ribosomal RNA, 253 nt
Filed under: uncultured bacterium
Lineage: Bacteria
Description: partial 16S ribosomal RNA
Rfam family: Bacterial small subunit ribosomal RNA
Source: RNAcentral
GACGAACCAUCCAACCGUUAUUCGGAAUUACUGGGCUUAAAGGGUGCGUAGGCUGCGCAGAAAGUUGGGUGUGAAAUCCCUCGGCUUAACCGAGGAACUGCGCCCAAAACUACUGUGCUUGAGGGAGACAGAGGUGAGUGGAACUUAGGGUGGAGCGGUGAAAUGCGUUGAUAUCCUAAGGAACACCCGUGGCGAAAGCGGCUCACUGGGUCUCUUCUGACGCUGAUGCACGAAAGCUAGGGGAGCGAACGGG